UUUUUUUCCAAAUCUAUGGGUUGUGUUUUCUUCAAUUUUAAAAUAUUAAAAAUUGAAUCUUUUUUUUUUUUUUGGGUAAUAUUUUUCAUUAGAUUAUGCUAUGGGUUCUGAUGAGGCUUUGAAUUGGGUUUGAGAGUUUUGAUUUAAUGAGAGAGAUAAGGAGUAUACACGGAGACAGGGAGUUAGGUCAUUUGAAGAAAUGGAGAUUAGGGUGAGAGAAAAACGGGAGAGAAGGGGUAGCAGAUUAACUUUUGAUUUUAUAAUUUUGGGGGUUUUGUGUUUAAAUUUUGCGUUUGUAAUUUUGGGGUUUUGUGUGCGCGCUUGGAUACGAUUUAGUUUUCAAUUUCAGGAAACGGUGGUGUUCAAUUUUGGGGCUUUCAUGUGCAACCUUGGAACCACUUUGUGCUCAAGGUAUAUAAAAGGAGAUGUUACUCUUCGUUUUUUGGGGCUUUUGUGUGAAGCUUUCGAAGCCCUUUGUGCUCAAGUUAUGGUAUGAGACGUGAUAUAAAUUGAACAGGGUGAGAUAAGCCUUCAAAUACGGGUCUAUUCAUUCUGGUAAUGCUACAAAUGGAUAAAUCACAUCAGAGCGUCUGCUACCCCUUUGGUACUUGAUUUCAUGGAUUCAUCUAUGUGCUAUCUCCAUAACUAUUAUCUGUCUGCUGCCUAUUACUAUGGAGGCUAUGAUGAGACUAGCAACAACUGGGACGACUACUUGAGAUAUGUAAAUCCUGAGGGAGUAUAAAUGAUUUCUAAAGGAGGAACGCCCAAACUGGAGGUCAGUCAAGCAUGACAUCCUUUCUAUGGACCUGAGGGGAAAUUAGGAGACAUGGAAAUUGUUGCCAAAUGUGAGGACAUAAAGUUGUCUAUUUGCAAAAUUACGUUGAAGUGGCACAAGGACCCUAAGUUGGAUGUAGGGAUAGAUUCCGGUCCGUCCCGGGCGACGGUUUGGUGUUGGCAUAGGGCCUAGAGUGUGUUUCCUUUGGCUAUUUAGCACAGGGACAGGGAGCUGGCAUGGGGCCUGAAGUGUAUUUUUCUCUGACUGUCUGCUCAGAGACGGGGAGCCGGCAUGGGGCUUGGGGGUUAUUGGACAAUUCACUAGUGAUUAUUAUAUAUA
Molecule: long non-coding RNA, 1114 nt
Organism: Pyrus x bretschneideri (Chinese white pear)
Lineage: Eukaryota; Viridiplantae; Streptophyta; Magnoliopsida; Rosales; Rosaceae
Exons: 8
Source: RefSeq, a predicted model, not a curated record